Molecule: ribosomal RNA, 639 nt
Filed under: uncultured cyanobacterium
Lineage: Bacteria; Bacillati; Cyanobacteriota
Description: bacterial SSU rRNA
Rfam family: Bacterial small subunit ribosomal RNA
Source: RNAcentral
GGUGGCGAUGUAAGUCUGCUGUUAGAGUCUAGCUCAACUAGAUAAGAGCAGUGGAAACUACAUAGCUAGAGUACGUUCGGGGCAGAGGGAAUUCCUGGUGUAGCGGUGAAAUGCGUAGAGAUCAGGAAGAACACCAGUGGCGAAGGCGCUCUGCUAGGCCGUAACUGACACUGAGGGACGAAAGCUAGGGGAGCGAAUGGGAUUAGAUACCCCAGUAGUCCUAGCCGUAAACGAUGGAUACUAGGCGUGGCUUGUAUCGACCCGAGCCGUGCCGUAGCUAACGCGUUAAGUAUCCCGCCUGGGAGUACGCCGGCAACGGUGAAACUCAAGGAAUUGACGGGGGCCCGCACAAGCGGUGGAGUAUGUGGUUUAAUUCGAUGCAACGCGAAGAACCUUACCAAGGCUUGACAUGUCGCGAAUCUUCUUGAAAGGGAAGAGUGCCUUCGGGAGCGCGAACACAGGUGGUGCAUGGCUGUCGCCAGCUCGUGUCGUGAGAUGUUGGGUUAAGUCCCGCAACGAGCGCAACCCUCGUUUUUAGUUGCCAGCAUUAAGUUGGGCACUCUAGAGAGACUGCCGGUGACAAACCGGAGGACGGUGGGGAUGACGUCAAGUCAGCAUGCCCCUUACGCCUUGGGCUAC